AUGCACGGCCGCGCUGUCGCCGCGCCGGGACGCGCAGUGCAGGGCGUAGAAGCCGCCGGCCGGCAUGCCCUUCUCCAGCGCGAAGUCGAGCAUGACCUGCUCGAAGAGGUCCCUCUUCUUGCUCUGCUGCGCGAGCCCAAUAGCCGUCUCGCCACGCUUGUUGCACAGCCUCACGUUGGCGCCGGCGAAGACGAGGACGCGGAAGGCGUCAACAUUGCCCUCCUUGGCGGCGGCCAUUAUGGGCGAGCACCCGUCCGCGUCCUGCUCGUCCACGUCCACGCCGGGCUGGGCGAGCAGCACCUCCAGCGCGGCGGCAUCGCCGCAGCGCGCCGUGAACAUCAUGGGCGAGAACACGUGGCGAUCGCUGGACAGAGGGAUGGUCCCGGACCGAAUCGCACCAAGAACGGCGCGUUCGAAGCCCGCCUUCCAGCCGCCCGAAGAGGCGACGGAUGCCGCCGACUCGCCUGCCAAGUUCAACAGCGCAACGUCCGCCCCGGCGGACACGAGAACCCUGACGCAGUCCUCUUGCUUGUGGCGUGCGGCCAGGAUGACGGCGACAUCGCCAGCCUCCGCCCUCGCGUUGACGUCGCAGCCCUUGUCCAUGAGCGUCUGCAGGAUCUCCGGCUGGCCGAGUCGCGCGGCCAAGUGAACAGGCCUGAACCUGCCGCUCCGGGAGGUCCUCACGGCAGCUUCGCAUUCGGCGCCAGAAGCCAGCAGCGUCUCGACGGCGCCGACGCUCCCGCAGAGGAUGGCUUGGUGGAGCAGCGUCCGUCCGACGUGCGUGGCGCCCGACGAGUACCCGUUCUGCAGGAGCAUGCGGAGGAUGGAGCCGGUGGACUCGUAGUACUCCACCGCGCACCAGGCCGCAUCGUAGGGCUCCGCGAGCCCCGCGCCGACGCGCAGCUCUUCCCCGGUGGCCGCGUCCCAGGACCACGCUCCAAGCCUCACCUUGGUGUCCCUCUUCACACCAGCCUGGAGAAGAGGAAAAAAUGGUGUCAAAAAUCAAAUGCGUCGAUCGCGAAAAUAGAUCUACUUGGGUAA
This 1041-nucleotide ribosomal RNA is filed under the name Triticum aestivum (bread wheat). RNAcentral describes it as "partial small subunit ribosomal RNA". Lineage: Eukaryota; Viridiplantae; Streptophyta; Magnoliopsida; Poales; Poaceae. The record is from RNAcentral.